GUGCUUAAGAACGUUCCGGGGUUCUCAUUUCUCGCUCCUUCCUCUACGAUUGCAAACGCCCGAUUCUAGGGUUUCGAUCGCCGCCUCUCUUGGGAUUCCAGGUACGCUGCUCCUUCGUCUCAAUUCCAUUGGCUUAGGGCGGAGUAGAGGAGGAGGCCAAGAUGGGGUUUCAGAUGCGGCCGUACGGGAUCCAGGCGAUGCUCGACGAGGCGGUGCUCAAGAACAUUGGCGCUUGCAAGGAGCUCUCCGUCAUCACCCGCACCUCCCUCGGCCCCAAUGAUAUUUGAAGAACAAGAUUGAACCUAAUGAGAAGCAUAGGAACAUGUGGAUAGGAGUCUGCAUUUUGUUUCCUCGAGCCUAGACAAGGAUGCUUGCCGACCACCAGGUGGAAUCUCCAAUUCCCAGAUUUGUUCGACUUCAUAUUCCCCUGAGGUUGUUGGAGUGCAUGAUACAUCAUGGAGCUCUAUGCAAGAAAAGGAAGCAAAUGUUACAUCACUUGAGUCUUUUAACAUGGACCAAACAGUUUCUGAUCUGAACCAUGAAGCAGGAGAACCAGAGUCUCUCGCCCAAGAACAUAGGAUAUGUUCCAGAUAGCCCUUCUCUUUCUUCUGAGAAGCAACUGGAUGGUUUUGUUGAGGAUUCUUAGGAAACAGAUAUUGUUAAUGUGAAGAAUGAGGAUCAUCAAAAUUCCCAGGUAAUUGAUUCUAUGGAGGAUGGUGGGGAUGGUGGAGAUUGUUAGGAAGUUAAAAGUUCUGAGGCCAGGGUUGGGGAUGGUGGAGCUUGCCAGGAACUUAGUAUAACUGAAACAGCGGACGGAGAUUGUGAUAACUGCCAGGAACUGGAUGCUACUUGGGCAGAUGGUGGAGAUGUUGAAGAGGGCCAAAAUAAUGCUGUUACUGAAGCAGAUGGCAUGGAUGGUGAAUGCCAGAAAGUUGUCCCCACUGAAGCAGGGAGUGGGUUCUACGGUGGCCCUUGCCAAGAGAAUCUUCCUCCCACAUACUGUCAAGAUAUCAUAAUAGCUGAUGAUGAGAGUUCGUUAGAUGACGAAGAUAAUGAGAGGCUAACUGCAAAGAGAUUAGAACAGCAACCUUGCAAACGUCAGAAGGUUAUGCUCCCUGAAGGCAGAAAGCCGAAGGCGCACCCGAAGCUUCACAGGAGACUGCCCUUGAAUGGCUCUACAAUAUUUAGUCAUUUUUGCUUGAUUAAUGCUCCUUGUAAAUUUUUCUGUGACAUACUAGCAGUCUGUAUCUGGCCGCAUAGGAUAUGGGGUGUUCAUAGGGGUGUCUUUUAGUAUCUCCUCUCUUUACCUGCAUUGGUGAUUUUGUUUGUUAGCUGCAUCAUUAGAUAACCAAUUGAGGUGUCCUUGCCUUUCACAAUGAAUUAUUCUCCGUUAGUCACUGUUUAGCAAUUCUUGUGCUCUUCAUGAAACAUUGUGUCAAUACUAGGGGGACAUGCAGGGCAGAUAUUAAUUCAAGAAUAUACUCAUGAAAAGUACAGGGAGAAGCAUUUCCAUUAUCUUGCAGAAAUUGUAACUGAAAGCACAAAAGCCAAGUGAAGCAGCUAAUGGGCACUGUUUUCUGAAUGUCGAAGAUUACAAUACGGGAUUCCAUUC
This is an RNA transcript of Phoenix dactylifera (date palm), 1612 nucleotides long. It is a transcript of the gene named T-complex protein 1 subunit theta-like, with no coding region annotated. The record is from RefSeq and is a predicted model, not a curated record. NCBI's taxonomy places the organism in Eukaryota, Viridiplantae, Streptophyta, Magnoliopsida, Arecales, Arecaceae.